This 409-nucleotide ribosomal RNA is filed under the name bacterium enrichment culture clone ALO1_GLFRUDD03HB4BP. Its description in RNAcentral is "bacterial SSU rRNA". It matches the Rfam family "Bacterial small subunit ribosomal RNA", at positions 9 to 417 of the family's 1533-position model. The record is from RNAcentral.
GAGUUUGAUCUUGGCUCAGAUUGAACGCUGGCGGCAUGCCUUACACAUGCAAGUCGAACGGCAGCACGGGAGCUUGCUCCUGGUGGCGAGUGGCGAACGGGUGAGUAAUGCAUCGGAACGUAUCCUGGAGUGGGGGGAUAACGUAGCGAAAGUUACGCUAAUACCGCAUAUUCUGUGAGCAGGAAAGCGGGGGACCUUCGGGCCUCGCGCUCUUGGAGCGGCCGAUGUCGGAUUAGCUAGUUGGUGAGGUAAAGGCUCACCAAGGCGACGAUCCGUAGCAGGUCUGAGAGGAUGAUCUGCCACACUGGAACUGAGACACGGUCCAGACUCCUACGGGAGGCAGCAGUGGGGAAUUUUGGACAAUGGGGGCAACCCUGAUCCAGCCAUGCCGCGUGAGUGAAGAAGGCCU